This 1064-nucleotide long non-coding RNA is filed under the name Pan troglodytes (chimpanzee). Its description in RNAcentral is "lncRNA (ENSPTRG00000053468.1)". The record is from RNAcentral. Lineage: Eukaryota; Metazoa; Chordata; Mammalia; Primates; Hominidae.
UGGGAAAGCAAUUUCCUUGUGCAUUUCCAGUAAGUCAAGUAGGAAGAGCCACCCCUUCACCUCCUUAAUCCAGUCCUGGAGAUUCCACAGAAGGGAGGGCAUUAAUCAAUUAAAGUACAACCAAUUGAAUAAAAACCAUAAAAAAACUGUAUAAAGACGGUAUACAUGCUGUGACUCUCAUGUGUGCGCAAGAGAAAGAAUAAUCAUCCUGGGUGCCACAGUAGAUGAAAGAAAUUUAACUAGAUCCCUUUCUUCUCCCAUUUUACCUGUAAAAACCAGAGAACAACUCUGCCCAAUCAGUAUGUUUAAGCUAGAGAAGAAAGAAGAAAAGAAAGAAGCAAGAGAGAAAGAAAGAAAGAAAGAGUAAGAAAGAAAGAAAGAAAGAAAGAAAGAAAGAAAGAAAGAGAAAAAAGAAAGAAGGAAAGAAAGGAAGAAAGGAAGGAAGGAAAGAAAGAAAGAACAACAGAAGAAAAUAAGAGAGAGAAAGAAAGAGGAAGAUAAAGAAUGAAAGAAGAAAGAAUGAGUGAGAGAAAAAAAUAGAGAAGAGAAAACUAAAGAAGGAAGAGAGAAAGAGAGAGGAAGAAAGAGAAAGAACAAGAGAAGAAAGAAAGAGACGACAGAAAGAAAGAGAAAAAGAAAGAAAAAGAGAAAGAAAAGCUUUUUUGACAGCAAGGGUGGGAACAUCUGGUAUCCUCUGAGCAUACGCUCCUCAUCUCCAGUAGCUUCCAGCCCUCAAGUGACUCCUGAUUGCAAAUAACAAAAUCAUCUCUAAAGAGCAGCUCCAGGACCCUGGAGCAAGUUUCAGUUCUAAAGGCCCCUGCAUUGGGCAGUCACCUGCACUUCUCAUGGCGUGGGACAGAAAGGACUCAUGCUCGGAGCUGGCACGUCCCUCCCUCUGGUCCUACAUCUCAGCCAGGGGAUCUAAAACUCUCAGAGUAUGUUUAGUGCUGGAAGGCCUGAGCAGACUGGCCCAGGACUCUUCAUUUCCACAAGGAGAAGGGGCAAGGUACAGAUGUGGAUAUAGAAUCAGAUCAGAAUUUUCUUGGCAGUUUCAGGAAUUCUGA